Molecule: long non-coding RNA, 788 nt
Organism: Tupaia belangeri chinensis (Chinese tree shrew)
Lineage: Eukaryota; Metazoa; Chordata; Mammalia; Scandentia; Tupaiidae
Exons: 3
Source: RefSeq, a predicted model, not a curated record
GGGGGCAUGCUGUUUCCUUUAUUCAUGGAAAGAGCUACAAAGAGUUUUGUCGUGAACGCUGUUGGAUGCCUGUGCGUGUCAACAUUCUCGGAGCCGCAAGUCCGCCAAGGUGAGGUGUUUUCAUACCACGGACCUGCAGCCAAGACUGUCAAUCCGAUUGGGCAGACAACCUCGCCUCCCCAGACAGGACUCCAGAGGUGUCCUGUGUGCUGUCCCAGCAAGGAGAGCAACAAAGCUGAUGGCGGGAGGGUAGCCCGCCCGCUGUGAGUGAAGCUCCGACCUGACUUCACCUCCUCCCGGCAGAGUCGGGCCAGAGCCCGACGGUCUCCAGUGGUCCCCAUGGCGCGCCACGCACACACGGCCUCUAGGCUACUAAAAGAGGAAGUCGGGAUGUCAUAUCAAACGGAUAAAGACAGUCCGACCACAGAAGAGCCGCGGUCUGGGCCGGUCUCCGGCUUGGCUUGGGGAGGGGUCCCAGGCUGCGAGCCUUUCUCCCUCUCGGUCCAUCUCCGCAGGGACAGGCUGGAGGCGCCCAUGCUGCGCAGCACGAUCGUGAAGACGAGCAAAGAACCAAAGACGACCCUUGCUGAAGAUCUGACUCAGAAGACCUGAGCAAAAGAUCUGUCGUUAGUGAUGCAAGAAGAUCCAGGAAAUCUGUGUAAGGUCUCUGCCCAACCCAGGGCAGACUGCUCCUGUUGCAUCUGUGAGGCCGUUCGUUGCAGCUGCUGUUGACCAAGUUGCUGGGACCAUGAUGGUGUAAUGGUUACAAAGCUGGACUCCCGUGUAGU